This 479-nucleotide ribosomal RNA is filed under the name alpha proteobacterium Air215. RNAcentral describes it as "bacterial SSU rRNA". It matches the Rfam family "Bacterial small subunit ribosomal RNA", at positions 83 to 597 of the family's 1533-position model. Lineage: Bacteria; Pseudomonadati; Pseudomonadota; Alphaproteobacteria. The record is from RNAcentral.
CCUUCGGGUCUAGUGGCGCACGGGUGCGUAACGCGUGGGAAUCUGCCCUUAGGUACGGAAUAACUCAGAGAAAUUUGUGCUAAUACCGUAUGAUGUCGAAAGACCAAAGAUUUAUCGCCUAAGGAUGAGCCCGCGUAAGAUUAGCUUGUUGGUGAGGUAAAAGCUCACCAAGGCGACGAUCUUUAGCUGGUCUGAGAGGAUGAUCAGCCACACUGGGACUGAGACACGGCCCAGACUCCUACGGGAGGCAGCAGUGGGGAAUAUUGGACAAUGGGCGAAAGCCUGAUCCAGCAAUGCCGCGUGAGUGAUGAAGGCCUUAGGGUUGUAAAGCUCUUUUACCAGGGAUGAUAAUGACAGUACCUGGAGAAUAAGCUCCGGCUAACUCCGUGCCAGCAGCCGCGGUAAUACGGAGGGAGCUAGCGUUGUUCGGAAUUACUGGGCGUAAAGCGUACGUAGGCGGUUAUUCAAGUCAGAGGUGA